Molecule: long non-coding RNA, 455 nt
Filed under: Medicago truncatula (barrel medic)
Lineage: Eukaryota; Viridiplantae; Streptophyta; Magnoliopsida; Fabales; Fabaceae
Description: long non-coding RNA (MTRU_LNC003620)
Source: RNAcentral
CCCGUUUUCCCAACAUAAAAAUUCUUAAAAACAUUUAUCAGAGUAAGCAUCAUAAACAACGGGAUAUCACAUAAAACUUAAUCCAAAACAGUCAAAUAAUAAUUUAACCAAUAUCUUAAACAUUGCAGCGGAAAUUCAUAAAACGUUUUGGCACGCAGGCCCCAUCAAAAGUUCAUAAUCAUAAUCCAUAACAUUAUAAAAAUAACAUAUUAGUCACGUAAGAGAAUGAAGCAUGCAUAAACAUAAACCCCAUCCCGUUACGUAUCAGAGCGACCUAGACGACACAGUGAAGGCAAGGCCACUCACGACGGCAACUGCACACUAAGCACGAUCACCUGCAAGUUACCCAUACGAAGGGCAACAUUUUCAAGCAGAAGGGGUGAGAUUUCAUAAUACAAUAACAUUAAUCAAUGUAAUUGAGAAUCAUAAAUUAACAUCAUAUUCAUUCCAUUACU